This 219-nucleotide long non-coding RNA is filed under the name Lathyrus oleraceus (garden pea). RNAcentral describes it as "Pisum sativum (pea) long non-coding RNA (PSAT_LNC011653)". Lineage: Eukaryota; Viridiplantae; Streptophyta; Magnoliopsida; Fabales; Fabaceae. The record is from RNAcentral.
ACGACUUGCCAUGCCAAAAGAAAAAAGAAAUGAUCUAGUAUUGGUUUAAGUCCUUUGCAUGAUUUAGGAAGCAACCUAUCCUUAAUGCAAAGCCAUUCAUUUGAUCAAUUGAUCAAGAUGAAUUAGAUUUGAAUCAAGGAAGAUUAAGCCUCCCUAAUCAAUGAUAACUUAUCAACCUUUAACUCAUUGAUCAAAAAGAAAAAGAAAAAGAAGAAGGAG